Molecule: ribosomal RNA, 446 nt
Filed under: uncultured Bacillota bacterium
Lineage: Bacteria; Bacillati; Bacillota
Description: bacterial SSU rRNA
Rfam family: Bacterial small subunit ribosomal RNA
Source: RNAcentral
GGGCCCGCACAAGCAGUGGAGCAUGUGGUUUAAUUCGACGCGACCCGAAGAACCUUACCAGGUCUUGACAUCUACCUAAUCCUGUAGAGAUAUGGGAGUGCCUUUCGGGGAAAGGUAAGACAGGUGGUGCAUGGUUGUCGUCAGCUCGUGUCGUGAGAUGUUGGGUUAAGUCCCGCAACGAGCGCAACCCUUGAUGUUGGUUGCCAGCAGGUAAAGCUGGGCACUCCAGCGUGACUGCCGUAGAGAAUACGGAGGAAGGCGGGGAUGACGUCAAAUCAUCAUGCCCUUUAUGACCUGGGCUACACACGUGCUACAAUGGGGUGAACAACGGGAAGCAAACCUGCGAAGGUAAGCGGAACCCUGAAAACACCUCUCAGUUCGGAUUGUAGGCUGCAACCCGCCUGCAUGAAGUCGGAAUUGCUAGUAAUCGCGGAUCAAUCAAGCCG